ACGGAAGGCAGCAGUAGGGAAUUUUCGGCAAUGGGCGAAAGCCUGACCGAGCAAUGCCGCGUGAAUGAUGAAGAUCUUCGGAUCGUAAAUUUCUGUGGUUGGGGACGAAAAACAGGAGUAGGAAAUGACUUCUGCCUGACGGUACCCAUCUAGAAAGCCCCGGCUAACUAUGUGCCAGCAGCCGCGGUAAUACAUAGGGGGCAAGCGUUAUCCGGAUUUAUUGGGCGUAAAGCGUGCGUAGGCUGUUGAUUAAGUCUGGUGUGAAAUCCCACGGCUCAACCGUGGAGGGUCAUUGGAAACUGGUCAACUAGAAUCCAGAAGGGGUAAGUGGAAUUCCAUGUGGAGCGGUAAAAUGCUUAGAUAUAUGGAGGAACACCAGUGGCGAAGGCGGCUUACUGGUCUGGCAUUGACGCUGAGGCACGAAAGCGUGGGUAGCAAACAGGAUUAGAUACCCUGGUA
This 459-nucleotide ribosomal RNA is filed under the name uncultured Turicibacter sp. RNAcentral's name for it is "bacterial SSU rRNA". It matches the Rfam family "Bacterial small subunit ribosomal RNA", at positions 341 to 792 of the family's 1533-position model. Lineage: Bacteria; Bacillati; Bacillota; Erysipelotrichia; Erysipelotrichales; Turicibacteraceae. The record is from RNAcentral.